GUGCCACCCGCCGCGGAAUAAGGACGGGGUGAGCGUUCUCCGGAUUUGGUGGGUGUAAAGGGAGCGUAGACGGCUUGGUCAGUCAAAAGUAACAACCCAUGCCUCAACCAUGGGACUUCUUUUGAAACUGUCUGGCUGGAGUGCAAGAGAGGUAAGCUGAAUUCCUUGUGUAGCGGUGAGAUGCGUAUAUAUUAGGAGGAACACCAGUGGCGAAGGCGGCUGAGUGGACUGUAACUGACGUUGAGGCUCGAAAGCGGGGGGAGCAAACAGGAUUAAAUACCCUGGUCCUCCACGCCAUAAACGAUGAAUACUAGGUGUCAGGGGGCACCCUUCUUUGGCGCCCCACCAAACACAAUUACUACCCCCCCUGGGGAGUACGCUCCCAAGAAUAAAACUCCAAGGAAUUGGCGGGCCCCCUCACAAGGGGGGGAACAUGUUUUUUUAAUUAAAAACCAAAAAAAA
Molecule: ribosomal RNA, 462 nt
Filed under: uncultured bacterium
Lineage: Bacteria
Description: partial 16S ribosomal RNA
Rfam family: Bacterial small subunit ribosomal RNA
Source: RNAcentral